GCAAUGCCUGAAUCUGGGUGACUGGGGAAACGGGAAGUGGAGGGGUGGGAGACAGCUUGGCUGGAUGUGGAGGUGGAGAGGAGAUGAGAAGAAAAGAUUGCCUCUGGAGUCAGUGACCUGGAGGGGCAAGUAACCCACCCAUGCCUUGUAGGUGCAAGUCUGGAAAUUACUUGUGUAAGAAAAGAGAAGCUUGGUGACAUGGUGAGGUCAGUCCCAUCUGAUUCAAUGAACAAUUGCAAAACCUGGCAAUCCGGAUGAAGCCAAGCAUUCUGAAUCUUAAUUUAUUUUUCUGUUUUUCCAAUAAAAA
This 307-nucleotide long non-coding RNA is filed under the name Homo sapiens (human). RNAcentral describes it as "HSALNT0329052". The record is from RNAcentral. Lineage: Eukaryota; Metazoa; Chordata; Mammalia; Primates; Hominidae.